This is a non-coding RNA of Carcharodon carcharias (great white shark), 696 nucleotides long. The record is from the annotation of a RefSeq genome assembly. NCBI's taxonomy places the organism in Eukaryota, Metazoa, Chordata, Chondrichthyes, Lamniformes, Lamnidae.
AUGGGAAUCCUCCUUGUUUUCACCUUGUGUAUCUGUUUACACCGCUCUUUCAGUCAGUCAGUGACACAGACCCCGGCAGCGGUGAUCAGGAAGGAGUGUCAGUCUCUCACCAUCACCUGUGUUUUCUAUGGCGGUUUUUUCGCUCGUCCUUUGACGGGCGCGGAUUUCUUCAGACAAACCCAGACCGGGACAGAGCGGAAGCGGAUCUCCAACGGAGGGAGAUUUGUUUUAUCGGUGAAUGAAGCAGAAAAGACAUUUACGCUGGAAAUUCGGGAUGUGAGAGUUGAAGACACCGCCACCUAUUACUGUAAAGCUCAGUAUAGGUCCAACAUGCGGUACAAUUAUGUGGAUGGAUCCGGGACGGUGGUGACUGUCACAGCCGGUUCCAGUUCUCUGGUAUCCCGGAGUCCGCAUCUCCAAACCGGUGCUGCCGGUGACACUGUUACUUUAAGCUGUGAAUAUUCAGGGUUCUGUCAGUACACAGUACACUGGUACGGUCAGUCCCCAGGACAGGCUCCGGAAUACCUGCUUGAGAGACACAUUUCAGGAGAGGAGAACAAAGAAAACGCUGCCGUGGGUAAAAUUUUUGCUUCUAUCGAUUCUGCCGAGAAAAGCAGCCGGUUGAAGAUCUCCAAACCACAAUUGAGCGACUCCGCUGUGUAUUACUGUGCACUGAGUCGACGCACAGCACAGUGA